UACGGAGGGUGCAAGUGUUGUUCGGAAUUACUGGGCGUAAAGAGUGCGUAGGCGGCUUGAUAAGUUGGGAGUGAAAGCCCGGGGCUCAACCUCGGAAUUGCUCUCAAAACUGUCGAGCUAGAGUAUGGUAGGGGACAGUGGAAUUCCUAGUGUAGGAGUGAAAUCCGUAGAUAUUAGGAGGAACACCAGAGGCGAAGGCGACUGUCUGGGCCAUUACUGACGCUAAGGUACGAAAGCGUGGGGAGCAAACAGG
Molecule: ribosomal RNA, 253 nt
Filed under: uncultured bacterium
Lineage: Bacteria
Description: partial 16S ribosomal RNA
Rfam family: Bacterial small subunit ribosomal RNA
Source: RNAcentral